AGAGUUUGAUCCUGGCUCAGGAUGAACGCCGGCGGCGUGCUUAACACAUGCAAGUCGAACGAAGCAUCUUAAGAUGAUUUCUUCGGAAUGAAGUUUUUGAUGACUGAGUGGCGGACGGGUGAGUAACUCGUGGGUAACCUGCCUCAUACAGGGGGAUAACAGUUAGAAAUGGCUGCUAAUACCUCAUAAGCGCACAGUGUCACAUGCCUCAGUGUUAAAAACUCCGGUGGUAUGAGAUGGACCCGCGUCUGAUUAGCUAGUUGGUAAGGUAACGGCCUACCAAGGCAACGAUCAGUAGCCGACCUGAGAGGGUGAUCGCCCACAUUGGGAAUGAGACACGGUCCAAACUCCUACGGGAGGCAGCAGUGGGGAAUAUUGCACAAUGGGGGAAACCCUGAUGCAGCGACCCCGCGUGAGUGAAGAAGUAUUUUGGUAAGUAAACUUCUAUCAGCAAGGAAGAUAAUGACGGUACUUGAAUAAGAAGCCCCGGCUUACUCCUUACCAGCAGUCGCGGUAA
This 517-nucleotide ribosomal RNA is filed under the name uncultured bacterium. RNAcentral's name for it is "bacterial SSU rRNA". It matches the Rfam family "Bacterial small subunit ribosomal RNA", at positions 8 to 523 of the family's 1533-position model. The record is from RNAcentral.